Long non-coding RNA from Psammomys obesus (fat sand rat), 845 nucleotides. RefSeq lists it as uncharacterized. The transcript has 2 exons. NCBI's taxonomy places the organism in Eukaryota, Metazoa, Chordata, Mammalia, Rodentia, Muridae. The record is from RefSeq and is a predicted model, not a curated record.
GUUUAGCGUUUAAAUGUCCCAGGCAUGGUUCUAAGCAUUUUUUUUUUCCUUUGAGACAGGGUCUCACUGUGUAGCCCUGGCCAUUUGGAAUUCUCUGUAGACCAGGCCGGCUUGGAACUCCUGAGAUCCGCCUUCUUCCGCCUCCCCCCUACCCCCCCAUGAAUCCAGUACUCACACCUGGGAGCCAGGUAAUGAGUUUGCCUGAGGUCACCCAAGGGUCAGUGCUUGCACCGGCUACUUCCUCUGCAUUCCGCUUACAAACCCGGGAAGAGCUUACAGCAUUUGGGUUAUUCUGUGACCAGCACUGGAGAGAAACACAAGGUCAGGAAUAUAUUUCACAAGGUGAUGAGGAGCUGGGCGUGUUCUCGCACGUCAGUGACGCCAGCACUGACAGAGAUCAGAGAUCAUCAGUUCUAGGCUAAUGUGGGAUGUCCGAUCUCAAAGCACAUAACACUCACGAGUUUUCAGGGAUGCCGGGUCAGUUGCUCUCUGUCGCCCCGGGCGGCCAUUCGGGGAAAUGGCCGUGGUCUCCUCUCCACCGAGCCUGUGCCCGAACAGGAAGAGUUAAAGAGCAUCUGAGACCAAAGAACCGGAGAAUCCAGUUCUGUGGCCUUGGAGAGGAUCUGGAUUCACCUUGCAGAACCACAGUGACCUCAUUUCAGUCGUUUCUUUCUCGUGAAUCCAACCCUCCCUUAGACUUUUAAUUCUCUCCUGCAACCUUUAAGAUACAGGAGUGGGUUAGGUCUGUGAUAGCCCCUCAACAAAGCCACAAUGAGAUGGGCUUGGCCUUCUUUGUUUUCUUUAUUAUUAAAAUUGUUAAUGAAAUAAAACCCAACUGCAGGCUG